Brassica rapa (field mustard) is the source of this 2854-nucleotide long non-coding RNA. RefSeq lists it as uncharacterized. Lineage: Eukaryota; Viridiplantae; Streptophyta; Magnoliopsida; Brassicales; Brassicaceae. The record is from RefSeq and is a predicted model, not a curated record.
AAAUGAUCACAAAAAUAGCCUAAAUGUAUUUUAAUUGAUGAGUUAUUAUACUGGAACAUUUAGUGAGUUGGUUGCAUGGAUUUGAACUAGAUGAGUUGUUUAGAUUCUGUCCAUUGCAUUUCUUAAAACAUUGGGAUCAGAAUUGGUGAGUUAUCAAUGUCUGAUCCUAGUGUGUGUGGUCUGAUUAUUGCUGGAGUUUGAGUGAUGUUUCAGGUACACAAGUGUUGUUCUCUGCCCAUCAUCAAAUCAAGACAAAGAAGAAGGAUUUGCCCAUGCUGUUCAGAGCCUAUACAUGAUGUAUAUUCCUGUUUGAUCUAGAGCCUACACGUGAUGUAUAUUCCUGACCAUGGAAUUUUUUUUUUUUGAGGAGACCAGAUGGAAUAAGUGGCACUCAUAUCAAGCUUGUUUCCUUCACUAUACUCUGAGCCAAGCUUAAGGGGGGAAGUAAAUGAGCUUCCAUGGCCUGUCUAUAAACGCUUGCAAGAAGAAUUCAACAAGGACAACAACAACUUGGUGUUAGAAUAAAUGACCAUCAGAGACUACUUGACAAAAAGAUCAGGUGAAGAGUCAAGCUGAGUGGAUAGCUAUGAAUCAGCCCAAUGCAUGGAGUUAGAAUAGUUACCUUCUGAUUGGAAAGCUAUGGAUCAGCCUCUAAAAGGAGUUAGAACAACUACCUUCAGUUGGGAAGCUAUGAAUCAGGCCAUAGCAUGUGUGCUAGUACCAUGUUGAUGAAGCUUCUAGUUAAGAAAGGGUUUUUGAAUAUAUGAGGUGAGAUAGCUUGUGGUGCUGACACGUAUGAAAUGGCACACAUGUAAUAAACACAUGAAUGAAAUGUUAGUUAUAUACAAUGCUCCUCAAAUAAUAAGAAAGGGAUUAUAUGAUGAUACGUAUAAAAGCAGAAAAUACUUGAAAUUCCAAAAUAACAUGAAACAAAACAAAAACAAAUAAUGAGAAACUAUCUAUUUGAACUAGCUUUAAAAUAUACGAAAAUAGCCCAAUGUAAUUACCUAGCAAAUAGUGGACUUAAAUUAUUAAGAAAAAUUUAAAGUCUUUUGUAUUAUGAGAAACUAUAUGGGCCAACAUUAAAUAUACGAAAAUAACCCAAUCUAAUUACCUAAAAUUUAUUUUUUCUAAAAUAAACAUAAAACAAAAUUUUAACCUUAUAUACAUAUUUCAAAUCAAAAUAAUAAAUAAAAUUUAUUUAUAUAAAAAAUUGAUUCAAAACUAUACAUAUUCUCAAAAAUUGAUUUUUACCAAAUAUUUUCUAAGAACAAUUAUAAAAAAUAUUUUCAAUAUAUAUAAAAAUAAUACAAUACAAAGCCCAAUUUCAAACAACUAUUUAAAUUAUGGUUUUUAUAUUUCACAUUAAAUUUUAAAAAUAUCAUAUAUCUAUCUAUAUUAUUAAAACUACAGCACAUUUGAGAUUUGUUUGGAAAUAUGAAUAGUAGUAUAAAAAAGAAUAUAAUGUUGUUUGGGAAUAUGGAUAUCAAUAUAUUUAAAAAAGUAAUGGACUUAAGUUAUUAAAAAAAAUUGGAAGUCUAUUACAUUAUGAAAAAAACUAUAUGUAUGGGCCAACUUUAAUAUAUGAAAAUGGCCCAAUUUAAUUACCUAAAAAUAUAUUUUGUCUAAAAUAAUCAUAAAAGAAUUUAAAAUUUAUAUACAUAUUUCAAAUAAAAAAUAAUUUAAAAUUGAUUUAUAUCAAAAAUUGAUUCAAAAUAUACAUAUAUUUUUAAAAUAUUGAUUUUGCUAAAAUAUUUUCCAAUAACUAUUAUAAAAAAAUAUUUUCAGUAUAUAUAAGAAAAAUACAAUACAAAGCCAAAAUAUCAAACACAAACUUAAAUUAUUGUUUUGCUCGAUACCAGCAAAAAAAUUUGAUUAUCGCAUGGGAAGAAGUUCAUCUUCAAAGCAUUUUUCCAUAUUUCACAUUAAGUUUUUAAAACAUAAUAUGUACGUAAUUAUUUAUACGAUCAUACAUAUAAAAUACUAUUAGUUGUAAGAUUAUUUAUAUGAUGAUGCGUAUAAAAGCAGAAAAUACUUGAAAUUCCAAAAUAACAUGAAAUAAAACCAAAACAAAUAAGGAGAAACUAUCUAUCUCGACUAGUUUUAAAAUAUAUGAAAAUAGCCCAAUGUAAUUACCUAGCAAAUAAUGGGCUUAAAUUAUUUAAAAAAAAUUGGAAGUCUGUUAUAUUAUGAGAAACUAUCUCGGCCUAAAAUUACCUAAAAUUAUCUAGUCUAAAAUAAACAUAAAACAUAAUUUUAACCUUAUAUACAUAUUUCAAAUCAAAAUAAUAAAAAUAAAAUUUAUUUAUAUCAAAAAUUGAUUCAAAAAUAUUCAUAUUCUCAAAAUUUUAUUUUUACUAAAAUAUUUUCCAAGAACCAUUAUAAAACAUAUUUUCAGUAUAUAUAAAAAUAAUACAAUACAAAGCUCAAUUUCAAACACCUACUUAAAUUAUGGUUUUUAUAUUUCACAUUAAAUUUUAAAAAUAUAAUAUAUCUAUAUUAUUAAAACUAAAGUACAUUUGAGAUUCGUUUGGAAACAUGAAUAGCAGUAUAAAAAGGAAUAUAAUGUUGUUUAAACAUGUAUAUCAAUAUAUCAAAAAAUGCAAUGGGCUUAGGUUAAUAAAAAAAAAUUAGAAUUCCAUUAUAUUAUGAAAAACUAUAUGUUUGGACCAGCUUUAAUAUAUGAAAAUGACCAAAUUUAAUUACAUAAAAAUAUCUUUUGUCUAAAACAAUCAUAAAACAAAAUUUAAAAUUUAUAUACAUAUUUUAAAUAAAAAAUUAAUUUUAAAUUAGUUUAUACCGAAAAUUGAUUCAAAAUAUACAUAUACUCAAAAUUUGAUUUUACUAAAGUAUU